UAGGGCUACAAAGGUGAGAAGGAUACUGUCUGUUUCCUCAUGUAACCACACUCUAAUAUGGGAGUCAACAUUCGACAAUGAAUAAAUUCAAUGAGAAAAAUGCUACACUAUUGAUUCAUAUCAGAAACAGUAAGGAGGUUAAGGCAGCAUUAUCAGCUUUAUCGGGUGAUAAAAUAAUUCUUCACAGAGAAGAAUAUACUUGAGCUGGAACCUGAAGAAUGAGAAAGGCUUUAAAUUUUUGAUACUGGAUCAAGGAUGGCAGCGCGUUAUAAAACAGCUGAACAAGGAAGCAAGACAUGAGAGCAGACUAGUAAAGAGAGAUAUUAAUGGGAUCACAAUGAAGCAGAGAUCACAAAAGUAAACAAAAUCCAGAGAACAUAAAAGUGGAAUUCCGAGUCUGGGGGGAGAUCUAUGUGAAUAAUCACCAGCCAGAAAUCUGCAAGACCGAAGGAUCAAGAAGAAUGGCCAAGCAAAGCAGUCUCUGGUCAAAGUCCAAAGAACUAACAGAAAUUUGCAUUGCGCUAACACUGGGAAGAGAGGGACACUGCGAUGAGCUUCCCCAUAGAAUUUAGAAGACCUCAUUUACUCUGUAUUCUCGCCCACCUCCACCUGUGGCAACCUGAGCUAAAGAGGGCUAAUAGAAUAGGAGUAAGAACCUUGGCAAAGUUAUUUUUUCCCUCUGACACCACAUAUAUAUGGUCGCAUAUAUGUACGUCACCACAUGACAUAUAAUUAAUUAUAUUCAUAAUUAAUAGUGAGAACUAGCAUUCACAUAGCACUUGUCAUGAUUCUGACAUCUAAACAGUGGUAGUUCUUCAUGUUUCUAGACCAGAGUUGUUGUUCUAUGUUAGAGGCAAAGACCAUGACAAUUCACUUGCUUUGUCUGGCACUGAUGGAUAAGUACUUCUGACAAUACUGUUAAACAAACUUGGUGAUUCAAAAUUCAUGUGUUCAAAUAUUUAUAAAGUAGGAGGUAGAGAUAAUAAAAAUUUAUGAAAAGGUCAAUUUUUAACUAUUAAAUUUACAAAAACUACAAAUGUUAAUGCACAGUCCUUUAUACAAGGAAUAAUUGAAGGAGAAGCAGCCUAGUAAAUUCAAUAUGCGUGGCUUACAAUAGUCAAAAAAUUUAGAAUCAUCUUAAAUGCUCAAUAGUAUCAAGACUAUUAUCAUUUUAAAUAUGUUGUAGCAACAUGAUAGAAUUUAUAUAUAGUAACUUAAGAAAAGUGCAAGAUAAAAAUGAUACACUAAAAUCACAAAUGUUAAAAUAUAUAGCCAUAAAACCUAAAGAGACUGUACAUACCUGUUGGUAAAUGAGAAUGUAUAUGAUUUUUCUCUUCUUUUAAACUUCAUGUAAUGCUAUAUAUGGUUUUAAAUAGACAUGGGAUUAAUAAAUCUUAUUUAUUAAUUUGUAUUAUUUCAGUAAUAUCUGGGAAACCUGCAAGAUAAAUAUUGUUAUCUCCACUAAAAUAGGAGGAAGAGAAGAAAGAGGAGGAGGAGGAGGAGGACGAGGAGGAGGAAAUGAUGGUUAAACUGGUCACACAAUUAUUAGGUAGACGAUUCAGAUUUGAAACGUGAUUGGUCUGCCUCGGAAACUUACCACCUUUACUUUAUGUUAUGCUUUCUCCGUGCUACCUUCACACCUUAGAGCCCCAUACAAUUUUUUCCAGGGCACAACCUUUCAUUUCUGAUGAAGAAUGGUAAGUAGAAAUAAUUCAUGAUAAUUCAGCAUUGGCUGAAUGCAAAAGCCUUCAAACCUUCCCAAGUUUCCCUCACUCACUCCCGAUACAGGCCUCAAGUUCUUCCUUGUGAAAGCAUUUCUAUUUCUUGAUAGAACUAAACGGCAUCCCCCAAAUUUAGUCUUUUUCUAUCAGUGAAAUUUUAAAAAUUGGAUGGAGAAAGUGGGUUCUCUCAAAAUCUGUAUUCUCAUACUGAAAUAUAUGUUCUUAAUUUUGAAAUAAUGUUAGAUGUAUAAGUUGCAAAAAUAGUACAGAGGUUUCUGAAUAUCUAUCAGCUUCUGCUAAGCUUAACAUCUGACAUACAAUACAUAGUAAAAUUAUCAAUACCAGGAAAUUAACAUUGAUACAAUCUUAUUAAUUAAAUUAUAGAU
Long non-coding RNA from Equus asinus (donkey), 2107 nucleotides. NCBI's taxonomy places the organism in Eukaryota, Metazoa, Chordata, Mammalia, Perissodactyla, Equidae. The record is from Ensembl.